AGCUCGGUAGCUCAAUUGGUAGAGCAGCGGUCUCCAAAGCCGCCGGUUCGGGGUUCGAGUCCCUGUCGGGUUGCCA
This 76-nucleotide transfer RNA is filed under the name Mycobacterium phage Tourach. Its description in RNAcentral is "tRNA-Trp". It matches the Rfam family "tRNA". Rfam says of the family: Transfer RNA (tRNA) molecules are approximately 80 nucleotides in length. Their secondary structure includes four short double-helical elements and three loops (D, anti-codon, and T loops). Lineage: Duplodnaviria; Heunggongvirae; Uroviricota; Caudoviricetes; Vilmaviridae. RNAcentral also lists the same sequence under 1 other name. The record is from RNAcentral.